This 442-nucleotide ribosomal RNA is filed under the name uncultured bacterium. RNAcentral's name for it is "bacterial SSU rRNA". It matches the Rfam family "Bacterial small subunit ribosomal RNA", at positions 1059 to 1501 of the family's 1533-position model. The record is from RNAcentral.
CUCGUGUCGUGAGAUGUUGGGUUAAGUCCCGCAACGAGCGCAACCCUUGAUCUUAGUUGCCAGCAUUCAGUUGGGCACUCUAAGGUGACUGCCGGUGACAAACCGGAGGAAGGUGGGGAUGACGUCAAAUCAUCAUGCCCCUUAUGACCUGGGCUACACACGUGCUAUAAUGGACAGAACAAAGGGCAGCGAAACCGCGAGGUUAAGCCAAUCCCACAAAUCUGUUCUCAGUUCGGAUCGCAGUCUGCAACUCGACUGCGUGAAGCUGGAAUCGCUAGUAAUCGCGGAUCAGCAUGCCGCGGUGAAUACGUUCCCGGGCCUUGUACACACCGCCCGUCACACCACGAGAGUUUGUAACACCCGAAGUCGGUGAGGUAACCUUUUAGGAGCCAGCCGCCGAAGGUGGGACAGAUGAUUGGGGUGAAGUCGUAACAAGGUAACC